CGCGGCCUAUCAGCUUGUUGGUGAGGUAACGGCUCACCAAGGCAUCGACGGGUAGCUGGUCUGAGAGGACGAUCAGCCACACUGGGACUGAGACACGGCCCAGACUCCUACGGGAGGCAGCAGCAGGGAAUAUUGCGCAAUGGGCGAAAGCCUGACGCAGCGACACCGCGUGAAGGAUGAAGGCCCUCGGGUUGUAAACUUCUUUCAGUGGGGAAGAAGCGAAAGUGACGGUACCCACAGAAGAAGCCCCGGCCAACUACGUGCCAGCAGCCGCGGUAAUACGUAGGGGGCAAGCGUUGUCCGGAUUCAUUGGGCGUAAAGAGCUCGUAGGCGGCUUGGCAAGUCGGUCGUGAAAUACCGAGGCUCAACCUCGGAACGCCGAUCGAAACUGCCAUGGCUAGGGUCCGGUAGAGGAGAGUGGAAUUCCCGGUGUAGCGGUGAAAUGCGCAGAUAUCGGGAGGAACACCAGUAGCGAAGGCGGCUCUCUGGGCCGGUACCGACGCUGAGGAGCGAAAGCGUGGGGGGCAAACAGGAUUAGAUACCCUGGUAGUCCACGCCGUAAACGUUGGGUACUAGGUGUGGCGGGUUCAUCAAUGCCCGCCGUACCGAAGCUAACGCAUUAAGUACCCCGCCUGGGGAGUACGG
RNAcentral lists this ribosomal RNA (645 nucleotides) under uncultured bacterium. RNAcentral's name for it is "bacterial SSU rRNA". It matches the Rfam family "Bacterial small subunit ribosomal RNA", at positions 232 to 885 of the family's 1533-position model. The record is from RNAcentral.